CCUACGGGUGGCAGCAGUCGGGAAUAUUGCGCAAUGGAGGAAACUCUGAAGCAGUGACGCCGCGUAUAGGAAGAAGUUUUUCGGAAUGUAAACUACUGUUGUUAGGGAAGAGAAUGAACAGUACUAACGGAGGAACCCCCGGCUAACUACGUGCCAGCAGCCGCGGUAAUACGUAGGGAGCGAGCGUUCUCCGGAAUUAUUGGGCGUAAAGGGGGCGUAGACGGGAAAGCAAGUUAGUUGUGAAAUCCCUUGGCUUAACUGUGGAACUGCAACUAAAACUAUUUUUUUUGAGUGCGGGAGAGGUAAGUGGAAUUCUUAGUGUAGCGGUGAAAUGCGUAGAGAUUAGGAGGAACACUAGUGGCGAAGGCGACUUACUGGACUGUAACUGACGUUGAGGCACGAAAGUGUGGGGAGCAAACAGGAUUAGAUACCCCAGUAGUC
RNAcentral lists this ribosomal RNA (441 nucleotides) under uncultured bacterium. RNAcentral describes it as "partial 16S ribosomal RNA". It matches the Rfam family "Bacterial small subunit ribosomal RNA", at positions 338 to 795 of the family's 1533-position model. The record is from RNAcentral.